AUCCCCAGGGCCAGAGAAACAAAAGGGAAGAGGAAGUUGUAGAACCCAUGGGCCUACUUGCACUUCUGAGGUGUCUCAGGAGGUCCUGGAAACACAGGAGGGCAUACCCAUGACCUCUCACUGGCAAGAUCUAACUAAAAUACGGCUGGCAAUAAAAAUUUGGAAAGGUAAUCUGUGAGGUAUCAGAAACCUACAACACAUAAAAGAAGAACACAGGACAGAAAUCGACGCUGAAGGCAAGGAGAUGGAUUCUCGCUGUCUCCCAGGCUGGAGUGCAGUGGCGCGAUCUCGGCUCACUGCAAGCUCCGCCUCCCGGGUUCACGCCGUUCUCCUGCCUCAGCCUCCCGAGUAGCUGGGACUACAGGCGCCCGCCACCACGCCCGGCUAAUUUUUUGUAUUUUAGUAGAGACGGGGUUUCACCAUGUUAGCCAGGAUGGUCUCAAUCUCCUGACCUCGUGAUCCGCCCACCUCGGCCUCCCAAAGUGCUGGGAUUACAGGCGUGAGUCACUGCGCCCAGCCAACUUUCAGUUUUAUUGACUAUAUAUUUUUGUAAUUAGGUACAUCCAGUCACACUGGAGAAAGAUAGUGUAUAAAUUUAUAACAAUGGGCCGGGUGCGGCCGGCCCAUUUUAUAUAUAUAUAUAAAACAAUGUAUAUAUGUGUAUGCAUACAUGUGUGUAUGUGCUCUAUGUAAUAUAUAUUAUCAUUAAUUGUCAUAGAAAAACAUCUUUAGAAUUAAAAAGAGCUUAGCGAUCAUUUAAAUUGUUCCAAACAUAUAUCUAACAUGCAUGGAGAACCGGUUUUCUCAAAUGAAAUAUGGCCCAAAACUUAAAAAAAUAAGGUUGAAAAAUAAAUAAAGCAAAGUUCCUUUGGCUGAAAGGUAAAAGGCUCAAAGCCCACAAACUUCACCUCGCAGCCACUCACUUUCACUGCAACAGAGCAUUCUCAAGUCACCCCACAAAACCCCUAAUUUUCUUUGGUACACAUUUGACUACUACCAGUCAAUUUUAGUCAUUAUCUUUUGUAAGUUUGAAAAAUGACAUACGAUGAAGUUGCAAAUUAUCUAUAAACAUUUACCUAGUGAGUGACCAGGUCACCCCACCAGAACUCAAAUUCCCUGAUUUCUAGAAGUUUAUUUUUGUCCAAAUAGAAAGGUCCAUCCCAAUGUUGGCUGAAAAUUAAAAUUCUGGUCUUUGAAAAGAGUUGGGCUAUUUGGAAUUUCUGACAAAAACUAAAGAGAGUCUAAGAUUUUCCUGAACUCCACAAGUCAGUUAAUAUUUUCUCUCAGGCCCAGCACUGCCAUUUUCCCUCCUCCCAGGCCUAUGUGCAGCAAAGGCCAGCCCUCCCUUCUUUUCAGAUUUCCUUUCAACUGCUGCUGUGUUUGCCUAUUCCCUUGGAAUCUCUAUUGGAUACCAAUUUCUUGACCCCUCCUGGGUAAAGAAUCACAUGGCUUUGUGUUUUUUGUAUGUUAAAUAAACUUAGCCAAGAUAACAAUUUUGUGGAAUCUUAGUGACUAUUUGUUUUUCUUUCUCGAGCAUUUUUACAUGUUGUCCUGGCUUUAGCUUUUAACAUUAUGGAUAUCAAGAUCUCCUGUCUAUUUAGUAAAGCCUGAACAUGUUCUCGUACGCCUACUCACAAUAAACUUGGACUGAAUU
This is a long non-coding RNA of Pan troglodytes (chimpanzee), 1654 nucleotides long. RefSeq lists it as uncharacterized. NCBI's taxonomy places the organism in Eukaryota, Metazoa, Chordata, Mammalia, Primates, Hominidae. The transcript is spliced from 3 exons. The record is from RefSeq and is a predicted model, not a curated record.